GCUGUGAUGGAUAUAAAUGCACUGAUCAUCCGACAUGAUAAAGUAAUUUUGUCCUCUAAGAAGUUCUGAGCUU
Small nucleolar RNA from Perognathus longimembris pacificus (Pacific pocket mouse), 73 nucleotides. RefSeq annotates it as small nucleolar RNA SNORD61. The transcript has a single exon. The record is from RefSeq and is a predicted model, not a curated record. Lineage: Eukaryota; Metazoa; Chordata; Mammalia; Rodentia; Heteromyidae.